Molecule: small RNA, 1205 nt
Filed under: Pongo abelii (Sumatran orangutan)
Lineage: Eukaryota; Metazoa; Chordata; Mammalia; Primates; Hominidae
Description: retained intron
Source: RNAcentral
AAAAAGUGUUUCCUCCAAGCUGCCCAUGAGACAGGCAGGACAAGGAUUCUUUUAUAUAUUUACACACAUACAUACACACAUGCGCGUAUAUAUAUAUCUUUGGUAGAGAUAGGAUCUUGCCACGUUGCCUGGACUAGCCUCAAACUGGGCUCACGUGAUCCUCCCACAUGUGCCUCUAAGUAGCUAGGACUACAGGCUCACACCACGGCACCGGGCUAAUUGUUAAAAUUUUUUUUUGUAGAGACAGGGUCUCCCUAUGUUGCCCAGGCUGGUAUUGAACUCCUGGCCCCUAGGGAUCCUCCCACCUAAGCUUCCCAAAGUGUCGGGAUUACAGGUGUGGCCACUGCACAGGGCCAGGACAAGGAUUCUUAAUCCCAGUCCAGGAUGGGAAACCCAUGGCCGAGUGGGAAGAAACCAGCUGAGGUCACAUCACCAGAGGAGGGAGAGUGUGGCCCCUGACUCAGUCCAUCAGCUUGUGUAGCUGAGGUCUGGGCCAGGUCUAACCAGGCUCCCCACUCCUCCCAACCUGAGCCUGCCCUCUGAUCUCUGCCUGUUCCUCUGUCCCACAGGGGGCAAAGGCUACGGGUCAGAGAGUGGGGAGGAGGACUUUGCCGCCUUUCGAGCCUGGCUGCGCUGCUAUGGCAUGCCAGGCAUGAGCUCCCUGCAGGACCGGCAUGGCCGUACCAUCUGGUUCCAGGGGGAUCCUGGACCCUUGGCACCCAAAGGGCGCAAGUCCCACAAAAAGAAAUCCAAGGCCACACAGCCGAGUCCUGAGGACAGAGUGGAGGACCCUUCGCCUCCAAGCAAGGCCCCUUCCAGGACACGAAGGGCAAAGAGAGACCUUUCUAAGAGGACUGCAACCCAGCAGCCUGAGGGGACCAGCCUCCAGCAGGACCCAGAAGCUCCCACAGUGCCCAAGAAGGGGAGGAGGAAGGGGCGACAGGCAGCCUCUGGCCACCGCAGACCCCGGAAGGUCAAGGCUGACACCCCAUCCUUGGAACCAGAGGGGACCUCAGCCUCUUAGCAGGAGGGUCUCCUUGCUUGCACUCACCCUUUCUUAUUGUCUUGCCCUGAAUCUGGGGGUCUGAAUUCUUGGGAGCAGGCAAUACCUGAAGGUGCAAACAGGCCCUACGGCUGUUCCCUGCACAACUCUCAUGGUUUUAAUUGUACCCCAUCUUCCAUAUCUUUAAAGCUCAUGUAAAAAA